AUUGAACGCUGGCGGCAGGCCUAACACAUGCAAGUCGAGCGGAAGAAGAGUACUUGCUUGUGGUUACGGCGGGCGACGGGCGGAUGGUGCCUGAGAAUAUGCCUGUCUACUGGUUAUUAGGUGCGAACGCAGGGACAAAUACCCCAUUACUGCAGAGGACCUACGGGGGGAAGCUUCGGACCUUAGGACCUCAGGUGAUUCAAGGUGCCGAUGUCGGAUUAGCUAGUUGGUGGGGUAAAGGCCCACCAAGGCGACGAUCCGUAGCUGGUCUGAGAGGAUGAUCAGUCACACUGGAACUGAGACACGGUCCAGACUCCUACGGGAGGCAGCAGUGGGGAAUAUUGGACAAUGGGCGAAAGCCUGAUCCAGCCAUGCCGCGUGUGUGAAGAAGGUCUUCGGAUUGUAAAGCACUUUAAUUGGGGAAGAAGGGCAGCAAGUUAAUACCUUGCUGUUUUGACGUUACCAACAGAAUAAGCACCGGCUAACUUCGUG
Molecule: ribosomal RNA, 492 nt
Filed under: uncultured bacterium
Lineage: Bacteria
Description: partial 16S ribosomal RNA
Rfam family: Bacterial small subunit ribosomal RNA
Source: RNAcentral